AACGCGAAGAACCUUACCUGGGCUCGAACGGCUUUGGAUCGACGGUGGAAACACUGUUUUCCCGCAAGGGACCGGAGUCGAGGUGCUGCAUGGCUGUCGUCAGCUCGUGUCGUGAGAUGUUGGGUUAAGUCCCGCAACGAGCGCAACCCUUGUCCUGUGUUGCCACUCCGUAAGGAAGCACUCUCAGGAGACCGCCAGCGAUAAGUUGGAGGAAGGUGGGGAUGAUGUCAAGUCAUCAUGGCCUUUAUGUCCAGGGCUACACACGUGCUACAAUGGUCGGUACAAAGCGCUGCAAACCCGCGAGGGGGAGCUAAUCGCAAAAAGCCGGCCUCAGUUCGGAUUGCAGGCUGCAACUCGCCUGCAUGAAGCUGGAAUCGCUAGUAAUGCCGUAUCAGAACGAUGGCGUGAAUACGUUCCCGGGCCUUGUA
Molecule: ribosomal RNA, 428 nt
Filed under: uncultured Acidobacterium sp.
Lineage: Bacteria; Pseudomonadati; Acidobacteriota; Terriglobia; Terriglobales; Acidobacteriaceae
Description: bacterial SSU rRNA
Rfam family: Bacterial small subunit ribosomal RNA
Source: RNAcentral